RNAcentral lists this ribosomal RNA (460 nucleotides) under uncultured bacterium. RNAcentral's name for it is "partial 16S ribosomal RNA". It matches the Rfam family "Bacterial small subunit ribosomal RNA", at positions 338 to 795 of the family's 1533-position model. The record is from RNAcentral.
CCUACGGGUGGCAGCAGUGAGGAAUAUUGGUCAAUGGGCGCAAGCCUGAACCAGCCAAGUAGCGUGAAGGAUGACUGCCCUACGGGUUGUAAACUUCUUUUAUAAAGGAAUAAAGUGAGGCACGUGUGCCUUUUUGUAUGUACUUUAUGAAUAAGGAUCGGCUAACUCCGUGCCAGCAGCCGCGGUAAUACGGAGGAUCCGAGCGUUAUCCGGAUUUAUUGGGUUUAAAGGGAGCGUAGAUGGGUUGUUAAGCCAGUUGUGAAAGGUUGCGGCUCAACCGUAAAAUUGCAAUGGAUACUGGCAGGCUUGAGUACGGUUGAGGCAGGCGGAAUUCGUGGUGUAGCGGUGAAAUGCUUAGAUAUCACGAAGAACCCCGAUUGCGAAGGCAGUUUACUAAACUGCAACUGACAUUGAUGCUCGAAAGUGCGGGUAUCAAACAGGAUUAGAUACCCCUGUAGUC